This 278-nucleotide long non-coding RNA is filed under the name Oryza brachyantha (malo sina). RNAcentral describes it as "long non-coding RNA (OBRA_LNC000814)". Lineage: Eukaryota; Viridiplantae; Streptophyta; Magnoliopsida; Poales; Poaceae. The record is from RNAcentral.
GGCGGAAUUGCAGCGGAGCUCUGUGCUUGGAUGUACUGUAGUUUCCUUUCAUAAAAAAGCUACCAUAAUAAAAUAUGUGUACAGAGAGAGAAUCUAGAAAUGAAAACAAUUCAGUAGGCAUGGACUAUGCAGGCUCCCACCUGAGAAGCCCUAAACAAGCCAUUUGCAAUAAGAAUACACACCCCACAGUGCAAAUGCUCUAGGUGCCCCAUAAAACUUUUUUUUAAUUUUCCUGGCAACUCUUGCUCCUAUCUCUCUCCCCUAUCCCCUCUCCCGAG